This is a long non-coding RNA of Drosophila ananassae, 1254 nucleotides long. RefSeq lists it as uncharacterized. NCBI's taxonomy places the organism in Eukaryota, Metazoa, Arthropoda, Insecta, Diptera, Drosophilidae. The transcript is spliced from 2 exons. The record is from RefSeq and is a predicted model, not a curated record.
GGUACAGUCAAGGGAAGGGGGCAGAAGUAGGAGGGGGUGGCAGGCUAAAACUCGUUAGGAUUAACAAGCGUUUACUGGCGCACGGCGUGCAAUGGCAGCGUAACUUUUACGCCCAGCGCGAGGACCCCAUAUCCUUACCGCUCAAAAUACACGGAAAAAAAUAACUCAGGACAUUAAGUAGAAAAAGGAUUAAGCAAAAAAGUAUUAGGGUCUGAGAGAAAUAUAAUCAGCAAAUUAUAAUCCUUAUAGCAUUGAGAUAAAAAGCAUAUCUCUAAACUUCCAGCAACUGAAACAAGUGCUCUUGUUUCCUUUUGUUUAGUAUUAUUUAAAUCUCCUUUAAAACAAAAUUUCAAAACAUAUCUCUCAGUGCAUUUUAUACAUGUUUCCCUAGUUAUAUAUCAGCUGCAUUAGAUGGCGGCAGCUUAGCUGCGUUUGUCACUCAUUGCCGGAGCAACGAGCGUGCAGUUAAAUUGAUGAGCAGCAGGUACAAGCGACAGACGAGACGGCAGGCAAGGAAUAUGGCAGGAUAGCAGGAUGGAUGCCAGGAUGGCCGGAUAGGAUAGAUGGAUAGCCGGGCUGGAUGAAUGGCCAGGACGCGCUCCGCAAUUUCCUCGCCAUCCUCACGCCGCCAAAUAAUUUUCGGAGCCGGAAAACCAUCGGCCCGGCAUGUCAUGUUGAUAUUUUGAUUUUCUCGCACCGCCACUGAUGAAGGUGUGCUCUCGAUGUCCAAAAUGUUCGGCGGCACUGCGGAUAUUUUCAAUUUUAAUGAUAUCCCUGCAUGAGUCGUGGACUGUGCGGUACUCACCCACCACCUGUAGGUAGCCCACCUGGCUAAUCAUGGGAUUGGUGUUAACCUGGCACAUGUAGUAGCCGCGAUCAUCCUGAUGAGCCUGAUUCACGUGCAGCAGCCACGUAUUGUCCGUGUAGGUGAUGCUGUAGCGCGGAAUCCUCGAUAUCACAUGCCGGUGGAUUGUCAAAAUCAUUUGCCUGUCAAUGUGAAUCCAGGCGACCUGUAAAAUUGAAAAUUUCGAAAAUCGAUUGGCAUUGUUCGUUCAAUAACCAACUAAUGUCAAAGCCCCUCAAGGCUAUGUUGCCUUUUAGGGAUAUCACACGAAACUAAGGCCACUGCCGGCACAUGUGGAGCCUUCUGCCAUUAUAAAUGAACGUCAUGUUGCGACGCAGGACUCGAGGAUAAAGCCAGCUUGACAGCUGUUUCCGCAUUUUUAAUAUACUUUUUUCUUUUAUUCUCCCAGA